Molecule: long non-coding RNA, 2557 nt
Filed under: Lytechinus variegatus (green sea urchin)
Lineage: Eukaryota; Metazoa; Echinodermata; Echinoidea; Temnopleuroida; Toxopneustidae
Description: uncharacterized LOC121414931
Source: RNAcentral
GCCGCGAAAUUAUUUUUCCCACCAUAUUUCUGGACCAAAAUACGAACUCAUUUGCAUACAGCCAAUCAGAGACGAUUGUUUUUUCCUCUCGAUUUUUCGUCUUCGAAGUACGCAUGCGCAUGGACUUUACGAACUAACUAAAAAGUUUUGGGCAGCGACGAGCUAGUUCAGAAAUCAACUUGAAGUUGAAUAGAUCUUCUUUCUGGACAAAAUGUCCAACAUUGUGUUGUGCUCGCAUUCGACAGAGGCAGAGCCAGAUCCUGAACAAGUACGCUGGUUAGAGGUAGCCCAUGUACAUGUAAACAUCAAUACCUACAUGUAGUUGUCAAGAAGUUCGACAUCCGUUGCUGCUGGAACUUCAUUUCUGCCAAUGAUGUACCACUGAGGAAACUGUUGUACAAGGUGGCCACAGGCUGUGCAAAUGCCCCAGAAGAAUGGUUUAUCUCUUUGAACCAUCAAAGUGGACCAAAACAAGCAGAAACCAACUUGAUAAUGGAGUCCAUAAGCAAUACAACUUAUGAAAAUGAUGGUAUUGAUGAACACAGCAUGGACUCGAUGAACGAUGGGGAAAACAGAAAUGAAGAAGCUGUCUGCACAGAUGUUGAGAUUUCAGACAAUGGACACGAUGCUGUUACGAAUCCAUGGCUAGCAAGUUUACACUUGCAACACUCUCUUCAAAACCAAUUUGAUACACGCGGUUGCACAUCAAAAUGAAGUGCUGAGAAUGGAAGUGACCCAAUACUCAAUGAGCUAAACAAGGGAUUUCUUGCUUUACAGCAAAGCUACAUAGGAGACUAAGAAUUCCUUGGAGGACCAGUACAUAAAUUCACCAAGAAACUUCUGAAACUAAAUUCUAGAACGAAUACUGGGUUAGCUUCCAUGCUUGAACCCCCAUUCCACAUAGAACAAGACCGCUGUAAGACCUCAACAAUCUUAUGUCUUUCAGUGGUCUCCAUUCUGUGGAAUGGGGGCCUUACUCUGGGGUGGCAGGUGCUCUUGGCAAGAAAAAAAAAUCUCUAGUCAGUAUGCAGACAAUUGGUGUUCAGCCAACUGCAUGAUCUAGGAGAAAGAUGGUUGGUGGUGGCAGAAACCGCAUUGGUGCUGGCAGACCGUCAAAGGAUUGUUUGAAAACCAGGAAAGAAACUGCCGUUCAGUUCUCAGCGUAUUCCUAGACGCAAAGCAUAACGUUAGUGAAUGUGUUACAAAAUAAUCAAUCUCUUGGUAAAGCACAUUCUACAAAGUAAUGGCCGAGCUCUAUUGAAAUAACUACCCUUAGUGAUAUUUUCCUUUCAUGACUUCUAAGAAUGUUUUUGUUUUUAAUUGUUAAAAGAAUGAAUUGGCAAGUACAUACUGUACAUGUUUGUCAUGUCAUUAUGAUGAAGUCUUGGACACUCCCCCCCCCCCCUUUCAUCUAACAUGCAGUUUUAUUAAAUAACUAUUAAAGUGUCAUGUCUCGAGAUGUACUUCACUUUUAUAUGCUAUUUAUGAUACAAAUAUUGUUUUUUUUAUUUGAGUUUGAUAUUUACUCUUGCGUGUUAGUAUAAUAAUUGACAUGCUUGGUAACAGCGGAAAUACUUUUUUUUACCCAUACCCUACUUUUUUAUGAGUAUGCCAAAGAGCAAUAUUUCAAAGUGUGGCAUGAAAUCUGGUAGUCAUGGAGAAGAGAUUAAGAACAGGCCUUUAGAGCCAGAUCAAUAUAGUUGAACAAAAUGAGAUUUCAAAACUUUUUUUAGAAGUUUAUUUCAGUAAGGUGAUUCAGAGAAAUUAAAGUAAUUUUGGAACACAGCAUGCAUGUUGUAUUGUCCAGGUAGCGGUAAAUUUUUAACAUUGAGAAACCAAGUUGCCAAUUUGAGAUUUGUAUACAUGUCGUGUUCUUAUUUUUCAAAGUGCCCUUUAAUACAUGUACUUCUCAUUCCUUGUCGAAAUUUCCUUCAAACUUUCAUGCUCAUUUUUAUCUUUUUAUUCUCCCUUCACAUAAAUCUCAUUAUUACUAAAGUAUGAUCCCUGAAUAAAUGGUAAGCGGAUUUAGGGACACUUGUAAAAUUUACUAAUGACUGCUUUUGCCCACAAAAAUUAGUAUUAAAAUUUGUUGAAAUAAUAAUGAAAUUUUUAAAUAGAUUUAUUCAUUUUUUAUAUCCCCCAAAUGUGGAAAAAGGUUCAUUUAAACAUGUUAGUAUAUGGCAGGCAAUGAAUGGUGACAUAAGUGACUAGAUAUAUCAUUACCCAAGAAUAGCCCAAUCAGUGAACAGCAUCGCACAUAAUGGUCAAUUUUGAAUUCGAUUAAAAUUCAAGGACACUCCAAAUUUUGUCUUGAUGUUUAGCUGAUUAUAAACAUACAUUUCUCAAACCAGCAGUUAAGAUUUUAAGCACCCUCUAUCCCACUACUGAAAUCCUCUUUGAAUACUUAUGAUUUUUUCUCGAAUUAUUUUAUCUUUUAGCAUUUUCACAUGUCACACUUGUUCACAAAUAUUUAUGGGUGGACCAUGGAUGCCACAAAAUUGUAACGAAUAAUAAUUAUUUAUGUUGAGAAUUUUUGGACCUGCAGAGUUUGAUUUUU